RNAcentral lists this long non-coding RNA (223 nucleotides) under Elaeis guineensis (African oil palm). RNAcentral describes it as "long non-coding RNA (EGUI_LNC033902)". The record is from RNAcentral. Lineage: Eukaryota; Viridiplantae; Streptophyta; Magnoliopsida; Arecales; Arecaceae.
CUCUCCCCCUUUUUUUUAUGUUUAGGCGAGGGUUUUCUCUCUGCUCCUAACGGGGUUGUAGGAGUGUAGAGGAGCCGUUGAGGAGGCUUUUCUCCUCAUCCGAUCUUGAACGAUCAGGUCUUCAUUUGUGCCAGGAUGAGGUUCUCCUCCUGUUCCCGACAUAGUCAAUUUCAGUUCAUGCUAGGAUGAGAUUUUUCUCUUGUUCCUAACAGGGCUUGAGGGC